RNAcentral lists this ribosomal RNA (274 nucleotides) under uncultured bacterium. RNAcentral's name for it is "partial 16S ribosomal RNA". It matches the Rfam family "Bacterial small subunit ribosomal RNA", at positions 523 to 796 of the family's 1533-position model. The record is from RNAcentral.
AUACGGAGGGUGCAAGCGUUAAUCGGAAUUACUGGGCGUAAAGAGUACGUAGGUGGUUUAUUAAGUCAGAUGUGAAAGCCCCGGGCUCAACCUGGGAACUGCAUUUGAAACUGGCAUACUAGAGUAUAGGAGAGGAAAGUGGAAUUUCAGGUGUAGCGGUGAAAUGCGUAGAUAUCUGAAGGAACAUCAAUGGCGAAGGCAGCUUUCUGGACUAAUACUGACACUGAGGUACGAAAGCGUGGGUAGCAAACAGGAUUAGAAACCCUAGUAGUCC